Molecule: ribosomal RNA, 695 nt
Filed under: uncultured Bacteroidota bacterium
Lineage: Bacteria; Pseudomonadati; Bacteroidota
Description: bacterial SSU rRNA
Rfam family: Bacterial small subunit ribosomal RNA
Source: RNAcentral
UGAGUAACGCGUAUCCAACCUUCCCGCAAGUAAGGGAUAACCCGUAGAAAUGCGGCCUAAUACCUUAUGUUUUCCUUAGAGGGCAUCUGAUGAGGAACAAAGAUCCGUCGCUUGCGGAUGGGGAUGCGUCUGAUUAGUUAGUCGGCGGGGUAACGGCCCACCGAGACGACGAUCAGUAGGGGUUCUGAGAGGAAAGUCCCCCACAUUGGAACUGAGACACGGUCCAAACUCCUACGGGAGGCAGCAGUGAGGAAUAUUGGUCAAUGGGCGGAAGCCUGAACCAGCCAAGUAGCGUGCAGGAUGACGGCCCUAUGGGUUGUAAACUGCUUUUAUGCGGGGAUAAAGUGGGCCACGCGUGGUCUUUUGCAGGUACCGCAUGAAUAAGGACCGGCUAAUUCCGUGCCAGCAGCCGCGGUAAUACGGAAGGUCCGGGCGUUAUCCGGAUUUAUUGGGUUUAAAGGGGGCGCAGGCCGCCGGGCAAGCGUGUUGUGAAAUGCAGUCGCUCAACGUCUGCACUGCAGCGCGAACUGCCCAGCUUGAGUGCGCGCAACGUUGGCGGAAUUCGCCGUGUAGCGGUGAAAUGCUUAGAUAUGGCGAAGAACUCCGAUUGCGAAGGCAGCUGACGGGUGCGUAACUGACGCUCAUGCUCGAAAGUGCGGGUAUCGAACAGGAUUAGAUACCCGGGUAGUCCGCAC